UACGGAGGGUGCAAGCGUUAUCCGGAAUCACUGGGUUUAAAGGGUGCGUAGGCGGUUUGUUAAGUCAGUUGUGAAAUUCCCCCGCUUAACGGGUGGGACUGCGAUUGAUACUGAUGAACUUGAAUCAGGUUGAGGUAGGCGGAAUGUGGCAUGUAGCGGUGAAAUGCUUAGAGAUGCCAGAGAACACCGAUUGCGAAGGCAGCUUGCUGGACCUUGAUUGACGCUGAGGCACGAAAGAGUGGGGAGCAAACAGG
This 254-nucleotide ribosomal RNA is filed under the name uncultured bacterium. RNAcentral's name for it is "partial 16S ribosomal RNA". It matches the Rfam family "Bacterial small subunit ribosomal RNA", at positions 524 to 776 of the family's 1533-position model. The record is from RNAcentral.